This 252-nucleotide small RNA is filed under the name Histoplasma capsulatum var. duboisii H88. RNAcentral's name for it is "Histoplasma capsulatum H88 hypothetical RNA". Lineage: Eukaryota; Fungi; Ascomycota; Eurotiomycetes; Onygenales; Ajellomycetaceae. The record is from RNAcentral.
CACUAAGUGGCCGUUCUGGGCCGCCAAUAAUUCCUCCUUCCCACUCCCACGCACUAAGUUUGUAACUUACCCCCUUAUGUUGGUAGGGGAAAAAUCAAGAUACAGGCUAGGUUAUUCGCGUCCCACGACAUUUUCUCCUUUGAGAAGUAUCCCAGAACAUGAUAAUCAUUGGCGUCUUGCGGGUUGGUGAAGACGAGGAUAUAGUAGAGGAAGGAGGAUACGUCGAAAAAAACGGAUUUGUGGUCCAGGAAG